CUUCAGGGCUGCACGGAUUAUCAGAGCAACUUGUUAUGGAGCACAGAGAGCAGUUUGACAGAUAAGCCGUCCAUGUUGAUUCACAGACAAGUCCUUGGCUGAUACAAUCACCUGUGUGUGUUUUUCCCAACAGACUUGCUGUCCGUUUGGCUGUUUUGUUCCACUGCAAACCCUAAGGACACGCAAACACAGCAGACACUGCAUGACACUCAGGGCAUCUCCGGAUCCUGCACAUGGAAAAAGAAAAAGAACAAGAGGCAGACAAACGAUGAGCUCACAGGGAUUCUAUCCUCCCACUGGUCCCAGGCUGUUGAUUGCUGCCCCACCUCCUCCUCCUGCCUGGCCUGAAGCAUCUGACGGGUUUUAUCUCUUAUUUAUAAGACUUUGAGGUCAACACCAGACCCUUAACACUUGAUUUCCCACAAGGAGAGAGGUGGCGCUUCCUUUAUGUUUUUGCAAAUCAUAUCAGAACCAUGUAAGAACAGCACAUGGAUGCAUCAGUAUAUUGGCACUUGGCUGACGUAUCAUGUCUUGCAUUAAAAAUAAAGAGGAUGCAGUGAAUGCAGAUGUGUGUGAAGAGGAGAAGAGGUCAUUUCACCCCCCCCCCCCCUCCCAACCCACUGCUACUGCUUCUUGCUUUCACCCUAGAGGCUCCUGUGGUGCAUGAUGCUAAUAAAUUAAGCAGAAAUCAUAUCAGGUGGACUCAUUGCUCCAUCGAUUGUGAGAAUGACAUCAUCCUCUUCUCCUCUCAGACCUUCAGAUCCCAGAUGGAGGAAGCAAAACAAGGCAGGGAAAUCUUUAAACCGGAGGCAUCCUCUUUCCAGGCGGAGAGUUGUCAAUGCUCAUUUUCACCUGUAUUGCAUUUUCUAUCUCACACAACCACGAGCGCGCUGAUCAGAAGGGGGGAUUUUUAACCCGCUAUAGAAGUUUCCACAUUAGUCUGCGAAAGGCAGAGCAGACAAUCUAUGAGACAAUUACAUUAGAGUGUCAAAUGCAUGUGGAAAAGCUUCUCGCACACUUAAAGCGAGAGCUUAUGAAAAUGAGCCCGUGGGUGUGCGUUGUAAAGAAGCUGGCUGGUGGCGACAUAAAGUGUGAGCUCGCGUGCGGCUGUGCUUAUUUUCAGCCCUUAUAAAUGCUCUCGUUCCAUAUGAAGUUUUGCAACAUGUGGGCAUUUGGAGCUAAUUGGAUGCGAAUGUUAAUGAAGGAAGGGUGUUUUAAAAGGUUGUGGGGACUUUCUGGCAGCUUGAAGAUAUAAAAUAUUUUCAUCAGAUUUCACGCUUGGACCAAUUUAUAUCCAUCAUUACAGCUUUAGCAGAACUGAAUUUAAUAAAACCCAAUGACAAACAUGCAAAAUAGCCACAAAAUGUUAAAUCACACAUUAGUCUAGGCUUGGGAAGAAAGAUCCACAAGCUAUAUAAAGAAUGUAGAUGUGUAAGUGAGACUUUAUUGCCUGUGAUUUUACAGUAAAUUGCAUUACCAUUGCUAUAUUCUUUCUACCCCUGUGUUACUGAGUGUGACUGUGUGUGCUAAUGAGUGUGUGUUCAUAGCACCCGGUGACUCAUCCACAGUGAGCACACCCUGUACUAUUCCCAUCCAUCUCCAGGCUCAGGGGAGCAGACUGGGCUUGACCACAUGUACUCUGCAGAUACUCAUCAAAAGGUUUUGACUGGCAAAUACACGAAAAUAGCUGGAGGAUAUUGUCUGAAAAGGUGUUAUAAAUAGAAAAACUAAGCGAUAUUUUGUCUUGUUAGACUCCGCUCCUUCAGCUUCAGAGGCGGCGGGCUAAAGCUGUGAACAACCUCUGACCUCUCGGUGGAAACCUCUUUUUGGGGUGUGAGAAAAUGUCCCCUCAGGCCACGUUCAGACCUGCAUUAGCAUCUUGUCAAGAAAACACGGCCGACUCAUUCAUUCCGGUGAGACUUCUGUAGCGGCGCAGCAUGGGACCAGAUGCUGCAGAUAAAAAACACACGGAGUCAAACAUCAAAAAGUGUUAUCCGACUCAACUUUAAAACACCAAGCAUGCAAUGUCAUCUGGAAAAACUCAGUGGCCAAUAAAAUCGAUGCAAGCAUUCAUUCUUAGAAGACUACUUUGAUUAAAAAAAAACAAAAAUAUACAGAGGGAUUCUAUUGUUUCUAUUGACUGUUGCUGAAACAACUCUUUUACUAGUUAUUAAUGAUCUUCUUUUAAUUAUUAAUUCAGACAUCUUUUAUUCUGGUGAUCCUCUAGAUCUUACUGCUGCCUUUGACACUGUGGAUCAUUGUAUCCUUAUAUUAUGGUUUAGGGUUCAUGGCUUAUAUAUAGGGUUCAAGUCAUAUCUGACAGAUUGGAGUCUUCUCAGUUCACUUAGGUGAACAUUCGACUGUAACCCCGCUUAUUUGUGGCAUCCCUCAAAGCUCAAUUCUGGGCCCAGUCCUCCUUUCACUGAAUAUGCUGCCCUUAAAGUCCAUAUUUAGGAAGAAUUUUGUUCCAUCUCAUUGUUUUGCAGAUGAUUGACGAGUCUAUCUUUGUGUAAAAAUGAAAAGUUAAAAUUCAGUACAACCUUUGCUGGACUGUUUAGAAUAUACUCAAAUUUAAAUCCAUCCAGGUAACAGUGAACGACUACCUCUGUCCCAAGGAAAACAUUAUUCUUGCCUUUAUUGCCAUGUGCUGAGACUAUUGUAAUUCUUUGUAUGGUCACUUAGAGUAGCCAUCUCUUCAGUGUCUGCAGCUGGUACAAAAUGCUGCAGCUGCUCAUCUUUUUACAGGAAAAACAACAAGUGAUCACAUAACAUCAGUACUGGCCUCGCUCCACCCGCUUCUUGUCCGCUUCAGAAUCGAUUUUGAGAUUUUACGGUUUGUUUUGAAGGUUGUAAACAGGCUGACAAAAUCUUAUUUCGCAGAACUCUUAGAUCUUCAUACCCCAGUUAGAGCCCCUGAGGUUGACUAAUCAGAUGCUCUUGUGUGUUUUUAGAUUUCCUGGAAUGUAAGAAAUGAUCAGACUUUAGAAACACUGAAUAAAUGUAACUUCAACACAGUGUUAAGUUUUGUAUUAUUAUGAAAUGCUGCACAGUAGCACCUCUAAACCUCAACAACUAAAUCAGAAGGAAACAGACAAUGUAGAGUAUAAUAAUCCAUUUUGUCUAUUUAUCUUUAAAGCACAAGUAGGAUGGAUCAUUACAGGCUGCAGAGUACUGUAUAUGUCAGUAUACAUAAUAUGCAGGGACUUGUACAAGGUGUGUUUAAUUGGUUUGACAUUUCGGGAAAUACAUGCUUUGCUGAGUGUUGUUUGGGACAGAUACCUCUGUCAUGUGUAGUGCAUACUGUGCUAUAGCCAGCAGCCAGAAACCGUUGAUGGCAGGACCCCAGGAACUCACUGAACCCAGCCAGUAAAUAGUUCUGUACAAAAGUCCCCAUAAGACCACAACGUGUUUGUUUUUGCACUUCAUUUUUUUUGCACUUUCUAAACAAAAACCAAUGCAUAAUGUGAUAAUUAGUGAGUGCUGGCAGCCAUAUUUCUUGCCUUUGGGUAGACCCAUGUCUGCUUUUUCCCUCUGCUUCCAGUCUUUUCUUGCCAAACCAAACCAAUCUAACUCUCAGCAGUGAAGCAAAUAACUGUAUUCCCCAAAACUAUUCCUUUAGUCAUCGGUGUAUGUAGCCACACAACAACACAAAGGUAGCUUCUUGCAUUUUAGAUAAUACUUUAUUAGAUAACAAGCAGUAAAAAUGAGGAACUGUCCCAUCUAAUUGUAUUUUACUGUCAAAAUGCUGGAAGACAGAAGCACAAAGCUGUUGUUGUGCUGGUAAUUGGUAAGAACAUGUGCGAGUAUCACAUUAAUUCCUUUGUCUACACAAACUGAUUACAUAUGUGAAUGUCUGUAGUUUCUUUUUUUUUCUUAUAAUACAUGUUUACACCAAUCUGUGUGCUCAGCUGUGAUUUUUGUGUGCUAGAAAACUGUUCUGUUCUGUGUGUCGCUGGGUAUUUGUGGUGGAAAACCAACCGUCCACUCCUAGGACAGUGCAGCUUGUAUGUCUUUGUGUGUGUUUGCUCAUACUGAACACUAAGAUUAAAAUGCUAUGACCAUUCA
Amphiprion ocellaris (clown anemonefish) is the source of this 4065-nucleotide long non-coding RNA. RefSeq lists it as uncharacterized. The record is from RefSeq and is a predicted model, not a curated record. The transcript has 2 exons. Lineage: Eukaryota; Metazoa; Chordata; Actinopteri; Pomacentridae.